This 486-nucleotide ribosomal RNA is filed under the name uncultured bacterium. RNAcentral describes it as "partial 16S ribosomal RNA". It matches the Rfam family "Bacterial small subunit ribosomal RNA", at positions 30 to 507 of the family's 1533-position model. The record is from RNAcentral.
AUUGAACGCUGGCGGCAUGCCUUACACAUGCAAGUCGAACGGCAGCACGGGUGCUUGCACCUGGUGGCGAGUGGCGAACGGGUGAGUAAUACAUCGGAACAUGUCCUGUAGUGGGGGAUAGCCCGGUGAAAGCCGGAUUAAUACCGCAUACGAUCCACGGAUGAAAGCGGGGGACCUUCGGGCCUCGCGCUAUAGGGUUGGCCGAUGGCUGAUUAGCUAGUUGGUGGGGUAAAGGCCUACCAAGGCGACGAUCAGUAGCUGGUCUGAGAGGACGACCAGCCACACUGGCACUGAGCCACGGCCCUGCCUCCUACGGGAGGCAGCAGUGGGGAAUUUUGGACAAUGGGCUAAAGCCUGAUCCAGCAAUGCCGCGUGUGUGAAGAAGGCCUUCUGGUUGUAAAGCACUUUUGUCCGGAAAGAAAUCCUUGACUCUAAUACAGUCGGGGGAUGACGGUACCGGACGAAUAAGCACCGGCUAACUACGUG